Molecule: ribosomal RNA, 492 nt
Filed under: uncultured bacterium
Lineage: Bacteria
Description: partial 16S ribosomal RNA
Rfam family: Bacterial small subunit ribosomal RNA
Source: RNAcentral
AGUGAACGCUGGCGGUAGGCCUAACACAUGCAAGUCGAACGGCAGCACAGUAAGAGCUUGCUCUUACGGGUGGCGAGUGGCGGACGGGUGAGGAAUACAUCGGAAUCUACUUUUUCGUGGGGGAUAACGUAGGGAAACUUACGCUAAUACCGCAUACGACCUACGGGUGAAAGCAGGGGAUCUUCGGACCUUGCGCGGUUGAAUGAGCCGAUGUCGGAUUAGCUAGUGGGCGGGGUAAAGGCCCACCAAGGCGACGAUCCGUAGCUGGUCUGAGAGGAUGAUCAGCCACACUGGAACUGAGACACGGUCCAGACUCCUACGGGAGGCAGCAGUGUGGAAUAUUGGACAAUGGGCGCAAGCCUGAUCCAGCCAUACCGAGUGGGUGAAGAAGGCCUUCGGUUUGUAAAGCCCGUCUGUUGGGAAAGAAAAGCAGCAGGUUAAUACCCCGCUGUUCUGACGGUACCCAAAGAAUAAGCACCGGCUAACUUCGUG